GCGGCGAGCGAAAAGAAAUCAGUUCAGCACUAAGCCAUUUUGUCUUUAUGGCAAAUAUGGGAUGCAGUGUAUGGAACAUCAAUAAUCUAGUAUGAGAAAUUAACGAUUUAAGUCCUUCUUAAAUGAGGCCAUUUACCCAUAGAGGGUGCCAGGCCCGUAUAACGUUAAUGAUUACUAGAAGAUGUUUCCAAAGAGUCGUGUUGCUUGAUAGUGCAGCACUAAGUGGGUGGUAAACUCCAUCUAAAACUAAAUAAAACCAUGAGACCGAUAGUAAACAAGUACCGUGAGGGAAAGUUGAAAAGAACUCUGAAUAGAGAGUUAAAUAGUACGUGAAACUGCUUAGAGGUUAAGCCCGAUGAACCUGAAUAUCCAUUAUGGAAAAUUCAAUAUUAAUAAAAUAAUAUAUAUCAUAUUAUAAAAGUAGUAUGCAAUUUUUCCAUAUAAGGACAUUGUAAUUUGUUAAUGUUAUAAAUAUUUAUCAAAAGAUCUUUUACUUAAGUUUAUUUAAAUUGUUUAUCUUCGGAUAUUCAACAUAAAAUAAAUGUAUUUGAUUAGAUAAAUCAUUGACAGAUAUAAUUAUAUAUUGUGCUCAAAUUUUUCGAAAUUUUACAAUAGUGAGUAGAUCUAUUGAUUUAUUUAUUUAUUGUAUGCGCUUUUAUGAUUAACAAUGCGAUAGAUUCAGGAUACCUUCGGGACCCGUCUUGAAACACGGACCAAGGAGUCUAACAUAUGUGCAAGUCAUUGGGUAUUUUUAAUAAAACCCAAUGGCAUAAUUAACUUAACUGUUAUUUAUAAUGGGAUUAAUUUAUAUUUUGUUAUGAUUUAUUUAUUCAAUCCCGGGGCGUUCUAUACAGUUAUGUAUAAUAAUAUUUAUAUUAUUUAUGCCUCUAACUAGAGCGUACCUUGAGCAUAUAUGCUGUGACCCGAAAGAUGGUGAACUAUACUUGAUCAGGUUGAAGUCAGGGGAAACCCUGAUGGAAGACCGAAACAGUUCUGACGUGCAAAUCGAUUGUCAGAAUUGAGUAUAGGGGCGAAAGACUAAUCGAACCAUCUAGUAGCUGGUUCCCUCCGAAGUUUCCCUCAGGAUAGC
Molecule: ribosomal RNA, 1090 nt
Filed under: Allograpta latifacies
Lineage: Eukaryota; Metazoa; Arthropoda; Insecta; Diptera; Syrphidae
Description: eukaryotic LSU rRNA
Rfam family: Eukaryotic large subunit ribosomal RNA
Source: RNAcentral